UCCUACAUUCAACAAAAUAUAACAACUGAAACAAACAACAACUAAGUAGUAUGAAAUAUAAAAUAGCUAAUACAAAAUGAUCAGAUUAGGCAGCAUGGGUAUCGAGCUCAAGAUCAUAACAACUGAAAUAGAAUCAACCUCGACCUUGACUGGAUGGUCUGGUCCGAGUAAAAGAUGUUGGAGGACGGAAGGUAAUAGGCUGAACAAAAGUGAGCUCACUGG
RNAcentral lists this long non-coding RNA (222 nucleotides) under Elaeis guineensis (African oil palm). RNAcentral describes it as "long non-coding RNA (EGUI_LNC018542)". The record is from RNAcentral. Lineage: Eukaryota; Viridiplantae; Streptophyta; Magnoliopsida; Arecales; Arecaceae.